This 492-nucleotide ribosomal RNA is filed under the name uncultured bacterium. RNAcentral describes it as "partial 16S ribosomal RNA". It matches the Rfam family "Bacterial small subunit ribosomal RNA", at positions 29 to 507 of the family's 1533-position model. The record is from RNAcentral.
AGUGAACGCUGGCGGUAGGCCUAACACAUGCAAGUCGAACGGCAGCACAGUAAGAGCUUGCUCUUACGGGUGGCGAGUGGCGGACGGGUGAGGAAUACAUCGGAAUCUACUUUUUCGUGGGGGAUAACGUAGGGAAACUUACGCUAAUACCGCAUACGACCUACGGGUGAAAGCAGGGGAUCUUCGGACCUUGCGCGAUUGAAUGAGCCGAUGUCGGAUUAGCUAGUUGGCGGGGUAAAGGCCCACCAAGGCGACGAUCCGUAGCUGGUCUGAGAGGAUGGACAGCCACACUGGAAAUGAGACACGGUCCAGACUCCUACGGGAGGCAGCAGUGGGGAAUAUUGGACAAUGGGCGCAAGCCUGAUCCAGCCAUACCGCGUGGGUGAAGAAGGCCUUCGGGUUGUAAAGCCCUUUUGUUGGGAAAGAAAAGCAGCAGGUUAAUACCCCGCUGUUCUGACGGUACCCAAAGAAUAAGCACCGGCUAACUUCGUG